RNAcentral lists this ribosomal RNA (431 nucleotides) under Aeromonas sp. AE246. RNAcentral's name for it is "bacterial SSU rRNA". It matches the Rfam family "Bacterial small subunit ribosomal RNA", at positions 29 to 453 of the family's 1533-position model. Lineage: Bacteria; Pseudomonadati; Pseudomonadota; Gammaproteobacteria; Aeromonadales; Aeromonadaceae. RNAcentral also lists the same sequence under 1 other name. The record is from RNAcentral.
AUUGAACGCUGGCGGCAGGCCUAACACAUGCAAGUCGAGCGGCAGCGGGAAAGUAGCUUGCUACUUUUGCCGGCGAGCGGCGGACGGGUGAGUAAUGCCUGGGGAUCUGCCCAGUCGAGGGGGAUAACUACUGGAAACGGUAGCUAAUACCGCAUACGCCCUACGGGGGAAAGCAGGGGACCUUCGGGCCUUGCGCGAUUGGAUGAACCCAGGUGGGAUUAGCUAGUUGGUGAGGUAAUGGCUCACCAAGGCGACGAUCCCUAGCUGGUCUGAGAGGAUGAUCAGCCACACUGGAACUGAGACACGGUCCAGACUCCUACGGGAGGCAGCAGUGGGGAAUAUUGCACAAUGGGGGAAACCCUGAUGCAGCCAUGCCGCGUGUGUGAAGAAGGCCUUCGGGUUGUAAAGCACUUUCAGCGAGGAGGAAAGGU